UUAUAAGAGACAGCAGCAGCCGCGGGAAUACGUAGGUGGCAAGCGUUGUCCGGAAUUAUUGGGCGUAAAGGGCUCGCAGGCGGUUUCUUAAGUCUGAUGUGAAAGCCCCCGGCUCAACCGGGGAGGGUCAUUGGAAACUGGGAAACUUGAGUGCAGAAGAGGAGAGUGGAAUUCCACGUGUAGCGGUGAAAUGCGUAGAGGUGUGGAGGAACACCAGUAGCGAAGGCGACUCUCUGGUCUGUAACUGACGCUGAGGAGCGAAAGCGUGGGGAGCGAACAGGAUUAGAUACCCCAGUAGUCCCUGUCUCUUAUAC
RNAcentral lists this ribosomal RNA (314 nucleotides) under uncultured bacterium. RNAcentral describes it as "partial 16S ribosomal RNA". It matches the Rfam family "Bacterial small subunit ribosomal RNA", at positions 499 to 807 of the family's 1533-position model. The record is from RNAcentral.